AGUGAACGCUGGCGGCAGGCCUAACACAUGCAAGUCGAACGGAAGCACAGUAAGUGCUUGGGGUUUCGGCUGGUGACUGGCGGGUGAGUGAGAAGUACAUCGGAUUUCAUUUUUUUGGGGGUGAGAACGUGGGCACUCUUACGCUAUUGGUGCAGACGACGUACGGGUGUAAGCAGGGGAUCUUCGGAUCUUGUGGGAGCGAAUGAGGCGAGGUCGGUUUAGUUAGUUGGCGGGGUAAAGGCCCACCAAGGCGACGAUCGGUAGCUGGUCUGAGAGGAUGAGCAGCCACACUGGAACUGAGACACGGUCCAGACUCCUACGGGAGGCAGGAGUGGGGAAUAUUGGACAAUGGGCGCAAGCCUGAUCCAGCCAUACCGCGUGGGUGAAGAAGGACUUCGGAUUGUAAAGAACUUUAUUUGGGGAGGAAGGGCAGCAAGUUAAUACCGCGCUGUUUUGACGUUACCAAAAGAAUAAGCACCGGCUAACUUCGUG
RNAcentral lists this ribosomal RNA (492 nucleotides) under uncultured bacterium. RNAcentral's name for it is "partial 16S ribosomal RNA". It matches the Rfam family "Bacterial small subunit ribosomal RNA", at positions 29 to 507 of the family's 1533-position model. The record is from RNAcentral.